RNAcentral lists this long non-coding RNA (701 nucleotides) under Papio anubis (olive baboon). Its description in RNAcentral is "lncRNA (ENSPANG00000043900.1)". Lineage: Eukaryota; Metazoa; Chordata; Mammalia; Primates; Cercopithecidae. The record is from RNAcentral.
AAGAAUUGCUUAAAAUAUACAGGUAUCCAAAAGUCAUCUCUGAAAAGUGUAGCUCAGUGUAACUGAGGUAAGGUGUGUGUGGUGGUUAAUAUUCAGCAUCAACUUGAUUGGACUGAUGGAUGCAAAGUAUUGUUCCUAGGUGUGUCUGUGAGGGUGCUGCCUAAGGAGAUUAACAUUUGAGUCAGUGGACCGGGAGAGGCAGACCCACCCUCAAUAUGGGUGGGCACAUCUAAUCAACUGCCAGCAUGGCUAGAAUAAAGCAGGCAGAAGAAGGUGGAAUGACCUGACUUGCUGAGACUUCAGGCCUUCAUCUUUCUCCUGUGCUGGAUGCUUCCUGCCCUAGAACAUCAGACUGCAAGUUCUUUAGCUUUUGGACUCUCGGACUUAUGCCAGUGAUUUGCCAGGUGCUCUUAGACCUUUGGCCACAGACUGACGGCUGCGCUGUCGGCUUCCCUGCUUUUGAAGUGUUGGUAGUCAGACUGACUUCUUGCUCCUCAGCUUGCAGAUGGCCUAUCUUGGGACUUCACCGUGUGAUCGUAUCCUUCCCUGAGAUUCUUCAAGUCAUAUGCCUUCUACCGCUGCCCACAAAGCGGAAAGCCUCCUUGGAGCCAUUUAAGUUUCAAACUGUGAACCUGCCUCACCUCAAGGAUAUUCCCUUAGUAAUAAAAAUAAUGUGGAAGGCUUUAAGUACUUUGAAGUAG